AGAGUCGGCUUACGUUGGGGCGUUCAGUUUGAAUCCAUAGACUGUAUAGAAAUAUACACUCUGGGGACUGGGGCAUAUACAGUCUAUGUUUGCAACGAUGGACACACUGCUGGGAAGCAGUUGUAGUUUUGCAAAAAAAAAAAUGUACAAAUCAAUUGCUGUUACAGAGUUUUUAAUCCAUCAGAUCAACCGUCUGUAGUUAUUAUUUAAGUCACUGGUGGCGCGUGUGUCGCCACAGACGCUUGUUUGUUCGACAAAUAUGAAACACGGAGGCAUAUAUCUUGUACUUUCUGGACGCGCUGGAGCCGCUGUGUUGGAGUUUGCUAUAGCAGCAUUGGCAAGUUGUUUUCUUGCAGAAGGAAACCUUGCAGACAAGCAGUGAGUGGACAUGAGGGUGGCUGAUCAGUGAAGCAGCAGAUGAGCAUCCAGGAGAUCAGAGCGUCUGAACACCAUGGACAUGGUGGCGGGAUUUGCCUGGUGCCGCUGAUGCAGAGAGAAGCUCUACAGACACUGAUGAGGACGACAAACCUUCACAUGAGCACUGGAGGACAUCGCUGAAAAGGCUGAAAAUU
Long non-coding RNA from Acanthochromis polyacanthus (spiny chromis), 572 nucleotides. RefSeq lists it as uncharacterized. NCBI's taxonomy places the organism in Eukaryota, Metazoa, Chordata, Actinopteri, Pomacentridae. The record is from RefSeq and is a predicted model, not a curated record. The transcript is spliced from 3 exons.